CUGUUAAUAACCCCGAAAACACCAACUACCAAACAACAAAUCAUUUUCCCCUCUAAGUAUAGGCGAUAGAAAAGAAACUCAUUAGAGCUAUAGAAAAAGUACCGCAAGGGAAUGCUGAAAAAGAAAUGAAAUAAAUCAGUAAAGUUCAAAAAAGCAGAGACUUACACUCGUACCUUUUGCAUCAUGACUUAGUCAGUAAAACCAAGCAAAGAGCACUUUAGUUUGAUUCCCCGAAACUAGGUGAGCUACUCCAAGACAGCCUAAAAAUAGGGCUAACCCGUCUCUGUGGCAAAAGAGUGGGGAGAUCUUAGAGUAGAGGUGAUAAACCUACCGAACUUAGUUAUAGCUGGUUGCCUAAAAAAUGAAUAGGAGUUCAGCUUUUUGGUUCUCCCCCUCAAAAAUUACUUUAUUUAUACCUGACCCAAGAGACACCAAAAAAGUUAAUUAAAGGAGGUACAGCUCCUUUAAAACAAGAUACAACUUCACUCAGUCGGGUAAAGAUCAUAAUUAUACAAGGCAAAUAUGUUUUAGUGGGCCUGAAAGCAGCCACCUAUAAGAAAGCGUUAAAGCUCAUUCAUAUCCCCGCCCCUAAUUUAGAUAACAAAUCUAAACCCACUAAUUUUAUUAGGCCGCUUCAUGCUUACAUGAAGGCGAUUAUGCUAACAUGAGUAAUAAGAAAAGACAGCUUUUCUCCUUGCACACCUGUAAAUCGAAACGGACCCCCCAUCGAACUUUAAUCGGCCCCAAAAAAAGAGGGUAAUGAGCCAAAAUCUCAGUAACAAGAAAAACACCCAAAUACCAACCGUUAACCCCACACUGGUGUGCUUACAAGGAAAGACUAAAAGAAAAAGAAGGAACUCGGCAAAUACAAGCCUCGCCUGUUUACCAAAAACACCGCCUCUUGUAUAUAGAAAAUAAGAGGUCA
This 925-nucleotide ribosomal RNA is filed under the name Betta persephone. Its description in RNAcentral is "partial 16S ribosomal RNA". The stretch from base 152 to 925 matches the Rfam family "Bacterial large subunit ribosomal RNA", at positions 568 to 1847 of the family's 2925-position model. The record is from RNAcentral. Lineage: Eukaryota; Metazoa; Chordata; Actinopteri; Anabantiformes; Osphronemidae.